RNAcentral lists this ribosomal RNA (738 nucleotides) under uncultured bacterium. RNAcentral describes it as "bacterial SSU rRNA". It matches the Rfam family "Bacterial small subunit ribosomal RNA", at positions 8 to 796 of the family's 1533-position model. The record is from RNAcentral.
AGAGUUUGAUCCUGGCUCAGAACGAACGCUGGCGGCAGGCCUAACACAUGCAAGUCGAGCGCCCGCAAGGGAGCGGCAGACGGGUGAGUAACGCGUGGGAACGUGCCUUUAGGUUCGGAAUAACUCAGGGAAACUUGUGCUAAUACCGAAUGUGCCCUUCGGGGGAAAGAUUUAUCGCCUUUAGAGCGGCCCGCGUCUGAUUAGCUAGUUGGUGAGGUAAAGGCUCACCAAGGCGACGAUCAGUAGCUGGUCUGAGAGGAUGAUCAGCCACAUUGGGACUGAGACACGGCCCAAACUCCUACGGGAGGCAGCAGUGGGGAAUCUUGCGCAAUGGGCGAAAGCCUGACGCAGCCAUGCCGCGUGAAUGAUGAAGGUCUUAGGAUUGUAAAAUUCUUUCACCGGGGACGAUAAUGACGGUACCCGGAGAAGAAGCCCCGGCUAACUUCGUGCCAGCAGCCGCGGUAAUACGAAGGGGGCUAGCGUUGCUCGGAAUUACUGGGCGUAAAGGGAGCGUAGGCGGACAUUUAAGUCAGGGGUGAAAUCCCGGGGCUCAACCUCGGAAUUGCCUUUGAUACUGGGUGUCUUGAGUGUGAGAGAGGUAUGUGGAACUCCGAGUGUAGAGGUGAAAUUCGUAGAUAUUCGGAAGAACACCAGUGGCGAAGGCGACAUACUGGCUCAUUACUGACGCUGAGGCUCGAAAGCGUGGGGAGCAAACAGGAUUAGAUACCCUGGUAGUCC